This 253-nucleotide ribosomal RNA is filed under the name uncultured bacterium. RNAcentral's name for it is "partial 16S ribosomal RNA". It matches the Rfam family "Bacterial small subunit ribosomal RNA", at positions 524 to 776 of the family's 1533-position model. The record is from RNAcentral.
UACGUAGGGUGCGAGCGUUGUCCGGAAUUAUUGGGCGUAAAGGGCUCGUAGGCGGUUUGUCGCGUCGGGAGUGAAAACAUCCAGCUUAACUGGGUGCUUGCUUUCGAUACGGGCAGACUUGAGGUAUGCAGGGGAGAAUGGAAUUCCUGGUGUAGCGGUGAAAUGCGCAGAUAUCAGGAGGAACACCGGUGGCGAAGGCGGUUCUCUGGGCAUUACCUGACGCUGAGGAGCGAAAGCGUGGGGAGCAAACAGG